AAUCAAUUUCUUCCAGCUUUCUAAUAUCUCUCCCAUUAAGCCUUCUGAGGAGAGGAACUACACCUGUUUUAUCUUGGUAACUAGCACUUUGCACCAUGCCUGACACAGAGGAGGUGUUUUAAAACUGUCUUUCAAUGGAUUACCACAGAAAAAAGUUGCUCACCUCUAGAAGAUGCUAGAGCAGGUACAGUGGAAAGAGCAUGGACUUGGAGGGCAGACAAAGGCAUGGACUUCGUGUUGAACUGCAGGUUUGAGCCAAGGAAUGGUGAGGAAUAGAUUUCUCAACAAAGCAAGUGCUCACAUAAGCUGCUGAAGUCUUAAAUGGAGAGCAGAGAUAGCUGGAGUCCUGUGGGUACUUUAAGGGAGUUUCAGGUGUGAGCUCUACAUUAUGCUGAGAUGGCUAUGUACAAGUAUAUCCAGAAUGACGGUGGAUACGUUGAAAGUCCAAUCAACUGUGCUAAAUCUUGAAUCAGUUCUCUCUGUUGCCUUUUGCAGUAAAUAAGGAAAUAUGGAGUAAAAGAGUAAUCUUCCUGCUGAGCAUGUUUUGCGGUUGCCAGCGCUGCCCCGGGUGUGUCUGGAGGAACACUCCCUGUUGCCUAACAACUGCUGUAAUGUAACGGAAAUAGAAGCACGAUGCCACACAUCCCUCAGAAAACGACUUGGCCCUUGGCCCUCCUGUGGAUGAAGAGUAUAUUGAAGAGAAACUGGAUAUUUCUAAAUUUGCUAAGACUCGCUUUUCUCACUUGCUCUCAGAUCACACUACUUUUGAGUAGCCCAAAAUUUUGUUGCCAACUCAGCAAGUUAAGCAAACAAUAUUACAAAUCAUGUUGAAACUGAAGUGGUCCCCAUGGGCCAGUGAGUACGGUGCAGGUGGAGAAAAAAUUAGCUGCUGAGUUAGGACAAACUGCUCCAAUUUUG
RNAcentral lists this long non-coding RNA (918 nucleotides) under Homo sapiens (human). RNAcentral's name for it is "HSALNT0311300". Lineage: Eukaryota; Metazoa; Chordata; Mammalia; Primates; Hominidae. The record is from RNAcentral.